This is a non-coding RNA of Ictidomys tridecemlineatus (thirteen-lined ground squirrel), 727 nucleotides long. The record is from RefSeq and is a predicted model, not a curated record. NCBI's taxonomy places the organism in Eukaryota, Metazoa, Chordata, Mammalia, Rodentia, Sciuridae.
GUCUCGCCCCGGUCCCGGCCGCGAUGCGCCGGCCUUCGGCGCGGCCUCUCCCUUCUCCUCUUGGUCACCCUCUCCUUCUCUGCUUCCCCCAUUCCCUUCUCCACGACAAGUUUUUAAACUUUGAUGAACUGGCCCAGCGAACUUUCUUAAAGGAGCCGCGCGCCGCCGGAGGUGGAGCCGAGUGCCAGGCACGCCGCAUCCCCGCCCUGUCGGCCCCACGCGAGGUGCGCCCUCGGCGAGGCCCCGGGAUUGUGGGCUCCCCUUUAACCUAGGUUCUCGGCGGACACAACAUCUUGGUUGGUAUGUGGUGCUGAGGAUCGAACCCGGGCAUCACGCAUGUCAGGCGAGCGCGCUACUGCUUGAGCCACAUCCCCAGCCCGGCAGGAAGCCAUUUCAGCAUCUUUCAGACCUUGGUCUUUCACCGGACUACCUCUUGUCCUGAGGCCACCCUGGGGAAAUUAGCCAUCAAUUAGCAUACAAAAUGACCUUGACCACUAUGGAGAUUCCAAGGAUUUUAGAAGUUAUAUGCCAGGAAGUGGGGGUGAAGACCACACAACAGUCUGUCCUUGGUAUCCAUGAAGAAUUGAUUCCAUUAAAGGUGAACAAAAUUAUGGCUUUUGCAGGUAAAGUGGAUGGAGUUGGAGAAUGUCAUGCUAAGUGAAGUUAGCCAAUCCCAAAAAAUCAAAGGCUAAAUGUUCUCUCUGAUAAGUGAAUGUUGAUCCAUAAU